RNAcentral lists this unclassified non-coding RNA (203 nucleotides) under Hevea brasiliensis (rubber tree). Lineage: Eukaryota; Viridiplantae; Streptophyta; Magnoliopsida; Malpighiales; Euphorbiaceae. The record is from RNAcentral.
GCCAGUUGUUGGCAAGAGUUGAUAGAAUUUCUAACUCAUCAAAAUGAGAGUAAGAACUAGAUUAUCAGACUAGUUUUCUUACUAUAGCAGAUCUAGAAAGCAAGAAACCCACUAAUCUUUAACAGCCAACUCCAAGCUAAAGGGAUGCUUUCGAGCUGCUAAUUUCCAAUUUGAGGAAUUUCAAAGUAUGUCGCAAGCUUAAU